Molecule: long non-coding RNA, 1831 nt
Organism: Branchiostoma floridae (Florida lancelet)
Lineage: Eukaryota; Metazoa; Chordata; Leptocardii; Amphioxiformes; Branchiostomatidae
Exons: 3
Source: RefSeq, a predicted model, not a curated record
UAGAUCCUAUACGGGAUUUCAUGUUCACCGGAAGUGAUGUAAGGGCCGCAGUGCGCAUGACCACAGACUUGGCUGAAACCAGAAACAUGGUGAAUAUGUUACUGCGAAGACUCAAACACUUUGUGUGAUUCGCUCGGGCAAGGAGGCUCGGGCAACCACCGGUGUACUACAUGUUAGACAGCAUGUUUCAUUUAACUGCUACAGGCCAGGUGAGACACUGUACAGGCUUGUCCCUGUCUUCUCCCUGAUGACAGCCAUACACCGCCUUGCUCACAAGUUGGAAUGGAACGCCAUCAAAUUCCACAUACUUCAGCUUCCAGUUGAUGCUCUUCUUAGCUGAGGGUUGCACAUCUGUAGUGAAAUGUCAUAACAAGUAUAUACUUGAUGCCAACGUCGAUUGGAUCCUGUCUGUGAAUAUGCAUGAAAUGUGUUACAAAUUUCAAUCAGUGAACUGAUGGAUCUUGGUGUUUGUCCAUCAUCGUGCCAUGGGUCAGCAGUUUCAUCUUGUCAAGGCAACAUAGAGUCCGGCACUGAGGAUUAGUGUCGAGUGAACUGAAGACAAUUUCAUGACUCUUAACCCAAUCACCGCCACCUAAGAUUACAAUUGGACCUACACAACUGCACGUAUUCUGGACGUGAUCUUACAGUCACAGAGCACCAUGAAGUGGUCUAAACUUGUUGCCAUGGUUGUUGAGAAGAGCAGUAGCAGACUGUACUUGCUACAAACCCUAGGCCUCUGUAAAUGAAGACUGGACUCGUGCGUCCUGGUAUUAUGGUUAAUUGUCUUUGUUUAGCCAGAUGCUUGCCAGGUAAGGACAACUGAGACCAGGUGAGGCACCUUGCAGGUAAGACAGGUGUGUUUUCUUUGACUAAAGAUAAGGUGAGGCCAGGUGAGGCACCUUGCAGGUAAGACAGGUGUAUUUUCUUUGACCAGGGACAAGGUGAGGCCAGGUGAGGCACCUUACAGGUAAGACAGGUGUGUUUUCUUUGACUAUGGACAAUGUGAGACCAGGUGAGACACCUUACAUGUAUGGCAGGUGUGUUUUCUUUGACUAUGGACAAGGUGAGACCAGGUGAGACACCUUACAUGUAUGGCAGGUGUGUUUUCUUGGUCUAGGGACAAGGUGAGGCCAGGUGAGGCACCUUACAGGUAAGACAGGUGUGUUUUUCUUGACUAGAGACAAGGUGAGGCACCUUGCAGGUAAGACAUGUGUAUUUCUUUGACUAGGGACAAGGUGAGGCCAGGUGAGGCACCUUACAGGUAAGACAGGUGUGUUUUUCUUGACUAGAGACAAGGUGAGGCACCUUGCAGGUAAGACAUGUGUAUUUCUUUGACUAGGGACAAGGUGAGGCCAGGUGAGGCACCUUACAGGUAAGACAGGUGUGUUUUUCUUGACUAGAGACAAGGUGAGGCACCUUGCAGGUAAGACAGGUGUAUUUUCUUUGACUAGGGACAAGGUGAUGCCAGGUGAGGCACCUUACAAUGAUAUUUUCUGCAAUUGACAAGGAAAAGAAGACUAUAACAUCUUAAAUAUAAUUAUCACAACCUUAGCAUGAAUCUGCAAUGCCAUAGUAAGGGUUGGAAUGUACCCUUACUAGCACCCUUAAAUGUUUUACUAGUGGUUAUUUGGGGUAAUUAAGAUGAUGGACAGGUGUAUGUUCUGUAUGUGGAUUCAUCUGUGCUCCAGCAGUUGAUCUUACCUGAGACGACAUUGACAUCAUUGCCCGAAACAGAAUACCAGUAUGUUUUAUAUCAUGUACAUGUCUAUAGGGCUUUUUUUAAGGACUGUAGAUGCAGAACGCAGUGUAUGAUGAUGAUGAUGAUGUACAU